RNAcentral lists this ribosomal RNA (525 nucleotides) under uncultured bacterium. RNAcentral describes it as "bacterial SSU rRNA". It matches the Rfam family "Bacterial small subunit ribosomal RNA", at positions 28 to 565 of the family's 1533-position model. The record is from RNAcentral.
AAUCAACGCUGGCGGCGUGCCUCAGACAUGCAAGUCGAACGAUUAAGACUCCCUUCGGGGAGUGCAUAAAGUGGCGCACGGGUGAGUAACACGUAAGUAAUCUGCCCUCGAGUGGGGAAUAACACCGGGAAACCGGUGCUAAUACCGCAUAAUGCGGCGGCACCGCAAGGUGACAGUUGUUAAAGGAGCAAUCCGCUUGAGGAGGAGCUUGCGGCAGAUUAGCUAGUUGGUAAGGUAAUGGCUUACCAAGGCUACGAUCUGUAACCGGUCUAAGAGGACGGUCGGUCACACUGACACUGAAUAACGGGUCAGACUCCUACGGGAGGCAGCAGUCGGGAAUUUUGGGCAAUGGGCGAAAGCCUGACCCAGCAACGCCGCGUGAAGGAUGAAGUAUUUCGGUAUGUAAACUUCGAAAGAAUGGGAAGAAUAAAUGACGGUACCAUUUAUAAGGUCCGGCUAACUACGUGCCAGCAGCCGCGGUAAUACGUAGGGACCAAGCGUUGUUCGGAUUUACUGGGCGGUAAA